AAAAACUUCUGGCUUUUACAUAAAAUUUUUCAGGAUGGAGUUAGGCCUGGACUUGUCAUCUCUGUUGUGGGACUUGCAAGAAUAUGUUCGUGUUCAGUCGGUAAAUGAAAAUAAACUAAAGUAACAGUAUCAGUGCCCAGGCCACAGAAAUACAAGGAAAUCCACAUGCAGGCUAGGAACAAUGACUAUUCUAGUAGCAACAAGGACCCCUAAAGCUAAAUUAUGGCCUCUAACAUUUCCCAGUAUAAGGAGGUUCAUGCCAUCAUCUGCAAGAAUCCAACUCUCCUGUCUCUAGAAGUUUCUUCUUUAAAUGUGCUAGCUACUACCUCUAGUAUAACAUUAAACAGUGGUAGAAUCAAUCUGGUAUCUUAGUAUUUCCUCAUUAAGUAAGAUGCCCGCUUUGGGACAGAGACAUUCAUACAUAUUCAUGGAAAAUAACUAUUAUUUAGUUAUUUUUUCUUAAAUGUGUCACACAAUGUUGAAUUCUGUUCAGGGCUUUUUUGUCAUC
This is a long non-coding RNA of Panthera uncia (snow leopard), 508 nucleotides long. RefSeq lists it as uncharacterized. NCBI's taxonomy places the organism in Eukaryota, Metazoa, Chordata, Mammalia, Carnivora, Felidae. The transcript is spliced from 4 exons. The record is from RefSeq and is a predicted model, not a curated record.